UAUGUGUAGGGCAAUGUCUAGCUACAACAGCAACCUCCUCCCUGGUCACUGUCACGGUUAUAAUCACCAGUCAGGGGUCAAGGCACAAUAAUUUGUGUGGCCAGCUACAGCAAGUGCGUGCUUUUCUGCAUAUUGGUGGUGGUGCUUCUGGCAGCUGCAGUGGUGAUGCUGGAGUUUGUGACCAUUUGCCCCUUUUCCUCCAGGAGAAUAGUUUUGGCGGAGUGCCUGAUUGACUGUUAUCCAUUUGGUCUUUAGCUUUGGUCAGAACCCAAAGCCAGAAACCUGCUGCAAUGUCACUUAGCCACACGCUAAAUAGGAAGUACUCAAACACACAGUUUGUGCCCCUAAAGCUGUGCUCAUCUCUGCUGAAUGGAUCGUAUAUGGGCUGUGUUUGCUGACCUGGAUGUGUGAUGAGAGCCUUAUUUUGGGGGGACUGGGCAUGUGCUCAGAAGCUUGAUGAUGACUGGAACCACUCACAUCCACUCAAGUCUUCUCUUGCAUGCCUUGUCGUGUGGUUUGGGAUAACACACCUAAAACUAGAACCGUGAGGACAUGAUAAAAUAUUUUCAUGACAGUUUACUGAAAAUGAAACUUAUAUGAAAAUUGUAGUUAUAUCUUAAGGUUUGAUUCAAAACCUAAUGUACAGCUAAUGAGCAAUGUAUUAAACAGUAUGGAAAUUGACCUUGUAAAAACAUUUUACUUUCUGAGAGGAAGUCAUUUUACUUACUUUCCUUUCAUAAAGAAUUGAAUCCCAGAAAGAUACUGUAUAUGUGGAGACAGAAUUCUGAAUAUUCUCUGAACAUUAAGAAGCUAACAACCCUAUUAAAAAAACCUUUAGAAAAGUACUUUAAAUGAAAUUUUA
Long non-coding RNA from Tachysurus fulvidraco (yellow catfish), 862 nucleotides. RefSeq lists it as uncharacterized. Lineage: Eukaryota; Metazoa; Chordata; Actinopteri; Siluriformes; Bagridae. The transcript is spliced from 3 exons. The record is from RefSeq and is a predicted model, not a curated record.